This 169-nucleotide ribosomal RNA is filed under the name Auxis thazard (frigate tuna). RNAcentral describes it as "partial small subunit ribosomal RNA". The record is from RNAcentral. Lineage: Eukaryota; Metazoa; Chordata; Actinopteri; Scombriformes; Scombridae.
CACCGCGGUUAUACGAGAGGCCCAAGUUGACAGACACCGGCGUAAAGCGUGGUUAAGGAAAACUAAAACUAAAGCCGAACACCUUCAGGGCAGUUAUACGCAUCCGAAGGCACGAAGCCCCACCACGAAAGUGGCUUUAUGAGCCCCUGACCCCACGAAAGCUAUGACA